This 77-nucleotide transfer RNA is filed under the name Phycisphaera mikurensis NBRC 102666. RNAcentral's name for it is "tRNA-Lys". It matches the Rfam family "tRNA". From Rfam's summary of the family: Transfer RNA (tRNA) molecules are approximately 80 nucleotides in length. Their secondary structure includes four short double-helical elements and three loops (D, anti-codon, and T loops). Further hydrogen bonds mediate the characteristic L-shaped molecular structure. tRNAs have two regions of fundamental functional importance: the anti-codon, which is responsible for specific mRNA codon recognition, and the 3' end, to which the tRNAs corresponding amino acid is attached (by aminoacyl-tRNA synthetases). tRNAs cope with the degeneracy of the genetic code in two manners: having more than one tRNA (with a specific anti-codon) for a particular amino acid; and 'wobble' base-pairing, i.e. permitting non-standard base-pairing at the 3rd anti-codon position. The record is from RNAcentral. Lineage: Bacteria; Pseudomonadati; Planctomycetota; Phycisphaerae; Phycisphaerales; Phycisphaeraceae.
GCCUCCUUAGCUCAGUUGGUUAGAGCAGCUGACUCUUAAUCAGCGGGUCCUAGGUUCGAGUCCUAGAGGGGGCACGU